GAUGAACGCUGGCGGCGUGCCUAAUACAUGCAAGUCGAGCGAACAGACGAGGAGCUUGCUCCUCUGAAGUUAGCGGCGGACGGGUGAGUAACACGUGGAUAACAUACCUAUAAGACUGGGAUAACUUCGGGAAACCGGAGCUAAUAUCGGAUAAUCUAUUGAACCGCAUGGUUCAAUAGUGAAAGACGGUUUUGCUGUCACUUAUAGAUGGAUCCGCGCCGCAUUAGCUAGCUGGUAAGGUAACGGCUUACCAAGGCAACGAUGCGUAGCCGACCUGAGAGGGUGAUCGGCCACACUGGAACUGAAACACGGACCAGACUCCUACGGGAGGCAGCAGUAGGGAAUCUUCCGCAAUGGGCGAAAGCCUGACGGAGCAACGCCGCGUGAGUGAUGAAGGUCUUCGGAUCGUAAAACUCUGUUAUUAGGGAAGAACAAAUGUGUAAGUAACUAUGCACGUCUUGACGGUACCUAAUCAGAAAGCCACGGCUAACUACGUG
This 497-nucleotide ribosomal RNA is filed under the name uncultured bacterium. Its description in RNAcentral is "partial 16S ribosomal RNA". It matches the Rfam family "Bacterial small subunit ribosomal RNA", at positions 28 to 507 of the family's 1533-position model. The record is from RNAcentral.